This 496-nucleotide ribosomal RNA is filed under the name uncultured bacterium. Its description in RNAcentral is "partial 16S ribosomal RNA". It matches the Rfam family "Bacterial small subunit ribosomal RNA", at positions 28 to 506 of the family's 1533-position model. The record is from RNAcentral.
GAUGAACGCUGGCGGCGUGCCUAAUACAUGCAAGUCGAGCGAACAGACGAGGAGCUUGCUCCUCUGACGUUAGCGGCGGACGGGUGAGUAACACGUGGAUAACCUACCUAUAAGACUGGGAUAACUUCGGGAAACCGGAGCUAAUACCGGAUAAUAUAUUGAACCGCAUGGUUCAAUAGUGAAAGACGGUUUUGCUGUCACUUAUAGAUGGAUCCGCGCCGCAUUAGCUAGUUGGUAAGGUAACGGCUUACCAAGGCGACGAUGCGUAGCCGACCUGAGAGGGGGAUCGGCCACACUGGAAGUGAGACACGGUCCAGACUCCUACGGGAGGCAGCAGUAGGGAAUCUUCCGCAAUGGGCGAAAGCCUGACGGAGCAACGCCGCGUGAGUGAUGAAGGUCUUCGGAUCGUAAAACUCUGUUAUUAGGGAAGAACAAAUGUGUAAGUAACUAUGCACGUCUUGACGGAACCUAAUCAGAAAGCCACGGCUAACUACGU